GCUCGCUUCGGCGGCACAGACACUGAAAUUGGAACGAUACAGAGAAGAUUCGCGUGGCCCCUGCGCAAGGAUGCGACGCAAAUUCGUGAGGCGUUCCAUGUUAAA
Molecule: small nuclear RNA, 105 nt
Organism: Eptesicus fuscus (big brown bat)
Lineage: Eukaryota; Metazoa; Chordata; Mammalia; Chiroptera; Vespertilionidae
Source: RefSeq, a predicted model, not a curated record